UAGGAAUGAAUAGAGAGUGGGAACAUUUUUCUGUGGUGAGCUCAAUUUUUUUCCUUUGAUAAAUCUUCCCCAUAGCAUAUAACUUAUGCCUAAAGCAACUAUAAUCAACUAGAGUUUUUUUUACAAUGAUUCUUGUAAAAAUAUUUCUAUUUGUUAUUCUUUUCUGUUUUUUAUGUUAAUAAAAUAUGUUUAAAACAAGUUUGAGGUAGGAAUUACUGCACAACAUAGACUUGAUCUGCAAUAACAGUUCUUGCCUGGUGUACUAAAUACCAAUGACAAAGUUAGUUUCAUCUUUCACAGUAAAUGUUAUUGGUGUUUUUCACAGACACCAGAGGGAGCUGAAAGGAUGCAUUGCACAAGAGGCACUGGCCUGGACAGCAUGAAGCUGGCACGUGCAUAAAGUUGGAGACGUGCGGGUGUGCCGUCCUGCAGCCACAGGAUACUCUGUGAGUGAAUCAGAACAGCUAUUUCCCAGACACAAGAUUAGAAAUUGUGAAAGUGUCAAUCGGCCAAAAAUACACAGGAUGUUGUGUCACACUGUGCUUCAAAUAUAGACGUGCCAGAGGUCUCAUCAGAACACAAUCAAAGAAGGACCACGUAUUUCAUACAUCUAUCACUAUACAUGAUGGUUAUUCAUGUGUACACCCAAUUACAAAACCAUUGGAACGAAGUGGAGAAAAAUCUUUUCACCUUUCACCUAUUUAUCAAUUCCGUUGUUCCAAAUGUUCGAAUUUUUUUUUCUCCAUUCCCACAAUGCGACGAUUUUUUAGAAAUGUGGGGGAGUGACGAGGCAUUUCCAUCACACAGCAUUUUUCUGGAUGCAGACUUGACCUACAGGUUACUGUGUGAAAGUUCAUCGCAAAUCCUUGUGGUGCGCAGCUCUUCCGCAUGCUGAUCAUUUUCCAGACAAAGAACUUUUGUUGUGCCCAGGAGAGUGAUGACGACCCUUAGCUGGAUCUCUAUAUCCUGCUCUAAAGAUUAUUUAUUGGAGGGCAAGAGGGACAUUAUGACAUAAAUAUUUUUCCAGUGACAUUAAAAGAGAUUAAACCAAAAAAUAAAAUUUUGCCUAAUGUUGCCUAAAUAUAAUGCUAAGCAACUUUGUAAUAUAUGUUCA
Molecule: long non-coding RNA, 1114 nt
Organism: Xenopus tropicalis (tropical clawed frog)
Lineage: Eukaryota; Metazoa; Chordata; Amphibia; Anura; Pipidae
Exons: 3
Source: RefSeq, a predicted model, not a curated record